RNAcentral lists this ribosomal RNA (460 nucleotides) under uncultured bacterium. RNAcentral describes it as "partial 16S ribosomal RNA". It matches the Rfam family "Bacterial small subunit ribosomal RNA", at positions 338 to 795 of the family's 1533-position model. The record is from RNAcentral.
CCUACGGGUGGCAGCAGUGAGGAAUAUUGGUCAAUGGACGAGAGUCUGAACCAGCCAAGUAGCGUGAAGGAUGACUGCCCUAUCGGUUGUAAACUUCUUUUAUAUGGGAAUAAAAUGUUCCACGUGUGGGAUUUUGUAUGUACCAUAUGAAUAAGGAUCGGCUAACUCCGUGCCAGCAGCCGCGGUAAUACGGAGGAUCCGAGCGUUAUCCGGAUUUAUUGGGUUUAAAGGGAGCGUAGGUGGAUUGUUAAGUCAGUUGUGAAAGUUUGCGGCUCAACCGUAAAAUUGCAGUUGAAACUGGCAGUCUUGAGUACAGUAGAGGUGGGCGGAAUUCGUGGUGUAGCGGUGAAAUGCUUAGAUAUCACGAAGAACUCCGAUUGCGAAGGCAGUUCACUGGACUGCAACUGACACUGAGGCUCGAAAGUGUGGGUAUCAAACAGGAUUAGAUACCCUAGUAGUC